GGCAAAGAACAUGCUAUGAAUCCAACACCCCAAUUCACUUGCCCUGAUUACAAGCCAUCAAAUAAGCUUCAAGUAGUUAUCUAGUAUAAUUCAAUCUUCUUCAUAAAAAUUGAAUCAAUUUAAUAAUAAAUUGUGUUAUGUGUAAUUUUCAGGGGAAAAUAGCAGUAGUGACUGGAGGUGACUCUGGAAUAGGACGUUCUGUAUGCAACUUAUUUGCAUUAGAAGGUGCUACUGUGAUUUUCACUUAUGUGAAGGGUCAUGAAGACAAGGACGCAAGGGACACACUUGAUAUGAUAAAAAUGGCAAAGACUGCAGAUGCCAAAGAUCCAAUGGCUAUACCAGCUGACCUUGGUUUUGAUGAGAAUUGUAAAAGAGUAGUGGAUGAGAUCAUCAAUACUUAUGGCAGAAUUGAUAUUCUUGUCAACAAUGCAGCUGAGCAGUAUGAGUGUGGUUCAAUUGAGGAGAUUGAUGAACCAAGACUUAUUAGGGUGUUCCAAACCAACUUCUUCUCCUAUGUCUUCAUGACUAGGUAAGAAACAAAAGUGGCGACAACACUUCCUGUAACACUCUUUUCAACACUUACUCUCUCAUUAGGUGAAUUUUAUGUAGGUUCAUCCGGACCUAUGCAUGAAUUUCAGUUAACAAGUAGAUAGAGCCUUGGAAAGUUGCAAUAAAAUGUUAAUCAAAUUAUAUUAUUAUAUAUGUAUAACAUAAAAUUGGAUCCAUAUAUAACAUAGUCUUGUAACUCUUAAAUUAAAAUAAAGCAUAGGUUAUUUCAUGAUUUUGGGUUUGACAAACUUUUGUAUAAUAGGCAUGCACUGAAGCAUAUGAAGGAAGGAAGCAGCAUUAUCAACACAACAUCAGUGAAUGCAUACAAAGGACACCCAACAUUGCUGGACUACACAUCCACUAAGGGUGCCAUUGUGGCCUUUACAAGGGCACUUUCACUUCAGCUGGUGAGCAAGGGAAUAAGAGUGAAUGGGGUUGCACCUGGACCU
RNAcentral lists this long non-coding RNA (998 nucleotides) under Cicer arietinum (chickpea). RNAcentral's name for it is "long non-coding RNA (CARI_LNC000883)". Lineage: Eukaryota; Viridiplantae; Streptophyta; Magnoliopsida; Fabales; Fabaceae. The record is from RNAcentral.